CAUAUAUUAAACCUUCCAAACUACCUCCAUUUCUUCAUUUAUCAACUAAACAAAAUCUCUUUCCUUCUUACAUUUAAAAGUCUUCUAUCUUUAAAUUGUUCUCCUACAUCUGGUAUCAGAGCCAUUGGUUCGAUAGGAGGGUGAUUCAUUAACUAUGGCAGGAAAGAAUAUGGUGUGCAUGGUUCCCAAGUUGACGGGGAAACAAAAUUACAAUUUUUUGGAGGAUUCAGAUGGAGACACAUCUGAAGGCGUAUAAUUUGUUAAAAUAUACGCGAGA
RNAcentral lists this long non-coding RNA (277 nucleotides) under Nicotiana benthamiana. RNAcentral's name for it is "long non-coding RNA (NBEN_LNC015297)". The record is from RNAcentral. Lineage: Eukaryota; Viridiplantae; Streptophyta; Magnoliopsida; Solanales; Solanaceae.